AGAGUUUGAUCCUGGCUCAGGAUGAACGCUGGCGGCGUGCUUAACACAUGCAAGUCGAGCGAGAAAAGUUCUUCGGAGCUUUUCUAGCGGCGGACGGGUGAGUAACACGUGGGCAACCUGCCUCAUAGAGGGGAAUAGCCUUCCGAAAGGAAGAUUAAUACCGCAUAACAUUGUUGAAAGGCAUCUUUUAACAAUCAAAGGAGCAAUCCGCUAUGAGAUGGGCCCGCGGCGCAUUAGCUAGUUGGUGAGGUAACGGCUCACCAAGGCGACGAUGCGUAGCCGACCUGAGAGGGUGAUCGGCCACAUUGGAACUGAGACACGGUCCAGACUCCUACGGGAGGCAGCAGUGGGGAAUAUUGCACAAUGGGGGAAACCCUGAUGCAGCAACGCCGCGUGAGUGAUGAAGGUCUUCGGAUUGUAAAGCUCUGUCUUUAGGGACGAUAAUGACGGUACCUAAGGAGGAAGCUCCGGCUAACUACGUGCAGCAGCCGCGGUAAUACGUAGGGAGCGAGCGUUAUCCGGAAUUAUUGGGUGUAAAGGGUGCGUAGACGGGAAGAUAAGUUAGUUGUGAAAUCCCUCGGCUUAACUGAGGAACUGCAACUAAAACUGUUUUUCUUGAGUGCAGGAGAGGUAAGUGGAAUUCCUAGUGUAGCGGUGAAAUGCGUAGAUAUUAGGAGGAACACCAGUGGCGAAGGCGACUUACUGGACUGUAACUGACGUUGAGGCACGAAAGUGUGGGGAGCAAACAGGAUUAGAUACCCUGGUAGUCCACACCGUAAACGAUGGAUACUAGGUGUAGGAGAUAUUAAGUCUUCUGUGCCGUCGCAAACGCAAUAAGUAUCCCACCUGGGGAGUACGGCCGCAAGGUUGAAACUCAAAGGAAUUGACGGGGGCCCGCACAAGCAGUGGAGUAUGUGGUUUAAUUCGAAGCAACGCGAAGAACCUUACCAAGGCUUGACAUAUACAGGAAUAUUUAAGAGAUUAAAUAGCUCUUCGGAGUCUGUAUACAGGUGGUGCAUGGUUGUCGUCAGCUCGUGCCGUGAGGUGUUGGGUUAAGUCCCGCAACGAGCGCAACCCUUAUGGUCAGUUACUACGCAAGAGGACUCUGGCCAGACUGCCGUUGACAAAACGGAGGAAGGUGGGGAUGACGUCAAAUCAUCAUGCCCUUUAUGACUUGGGCUACACACGUACUACAAUGGCGUUAAACAAAGAGAAGCAAGACCGCGAGGUGGAGCAAAACUCAGAAACAACGUCCCAGUUCGGACUGCAGGCUGCAACUCGCCUGCACGAAGUCGGAAUUGCUAGUAAUCGCAGAUCAGCAUGCUGCGGUGAAUACGUUCCCGGGCCUUGCACUCACCGCCCGUCA
This 1366-nucleotide ribosomal RNA is filed under the name uncultured bacterium. Its description in RNAcentral is "16S ribosomal RNA". It matches the Rfam family "Bacterial small subunit ribosomal RNA". The record is from RNAcentral.